GCAUCUGUGGCCGAGAGGCCGAAGGCAGCGGACUCAUGAAUCCGCCAUCCUAUUAGGGACGUCGCUGGUUCGAAUCCAGCCAGAUGCAA
Molecule: transfer RNA, 89 nt
Filed under: Gracilaria edulis
Lineage: Eukaryota; Rhodophyta; Florideophyceae; Gracilariales; Gracilariaceae
Description: tRNA-Met
Rfam family: tRNA
About the family: Transfer RNA (tRNA) molecules are approximately 80 nucleotides in length. Their secondary structure includes four short double-helical elements and three loops (D, anti-codon, and T loops).
Source: RNAcentral